CUGACGCAGCCAUGCCGCGUGAUGAGAAGGCCUUCGGGUUGUAAAGUUCUUUCGGUAUUGAGGAAGGUUGUUGUGUUAAUAGCACGACAAAUUGACGUUAAAUACAGAAGAAGCACCGGCUAACUCCGUGCCAGCAGCCGCGGUAAUACGGAGGGUGCGAGCGUUAAUCGGAAUAACUGGGCGUAAAGGGCACGCAGGCGGACUUUUAAGUGAGGUGUGAAAUCCCCGGGCUUAACCUGGGAAUUGCAUUUCAGACUGGGAGUCUAGAGUACUUUAGGGAGGGGUAGAAUUCCACGUGUAGCGGUGAAAUGCGUAGAGAUGUGGAGGAAUACCGAAGGCGAAGGCAGCCCCUUGGGAAUGUACUGACGCUCAUGUGCGAAAGCGUGGGGAGCAAACA
This 397-nucleotide ribosomal RNA is filed under the name Aggregatibacter sp. RNAcentral describes it as "bacterial SSU rRNA". It matches the Rfam family "Bacterial small subunit ribosomal RNA", at positions 383 to 774 of the family's 1533-position model. The record is from RNAcentral. Lineage: Bacteria; Pseudomonadati; Pseudomonadota; Gammaproteobacteria; Pasteurellales; Pasteurellaceae.